Non-coding RNA from Lolium perenne, 3567 nucleotides. Lineage: Eukaryota; Viridiplantae; Streptophyta; Magnoliopsida; Poales; Poaceae. The record is from RefSeq and is a predicted model, not a curated record.
CCUAUAAAUGUUGCAAGACUACUCAGCCAUCCAGGGGGUCUGAGAGGGGCAAAACAAUCCUGGUCGCUCGUUUCUACUGCUACAGUGAAUUUUACAUCCCACUUUCUACCUCAGCCGUUAGAUUCAGUAAUUUCUUUCUCACCCUUCCCUGCUCAUUCUGAGUUCGUGACGCCUGGGCCCGUGCGUGCUUGGGGCCACUCGUCUGGGACUGCGAGCGUUCCUGCUCGCGUCCGCGAGAAACCCAAAAACGGUGAAACCCUAGCCAUCUGAGAGCCUCUCUCUCCUCUCCAAUCCCGUGCCCACUCUUCUCCCCGAAUCCCCGCUCCUCUCCUCCUCCCGAAUCCGCCGCCUUCUCUCGCUUUCUCUCCCGCUGUGCUGGUCGUGGACGGUGAGCGGCGGGCGCGGGCGGCUUCCCGGAGGAGUCUAGCGGCGCGGGCGGCGAGGCGAGGAGACUGGCUCAGAGGUCGAGCUCGCGCCGUCUCACCCUCCCGGCCGCAUAUGCGGGCACAACGGCAGCGGCUGCCUCAGGAGAGGAGGAUGCGGCGGCGGUCCUUGGUGCGGGACAUCCGCUCGAACUGGCGCGGGGAGACUGGAUGAACCGACGGCGGCGAGGCUCGAGAUCCCCCGCCUCAUCCUUCCCUGCCUCUGCACCCGACGAUGACGGCCCAGCCAUGUUAUUUGGGCGAGGAGGCAACAGAUCGGGAGAUCUAUCCUUCCCUGGUGCUUGCGACGGCGGCGGCAACCGGCGGUAACAGCCAGCAGGGCCCUGACAACCAGGUACAGCGCUCCUUUCUUUUACGAGCACAAACUGCGCCGCGUGACACACCCAGGUACUGAUCUUCAACCAAAGGGCAGCGGUAACCGGCGACCGGCGGCCAGCGGCGACCGGCGACCACAACCAGACUACAAAAAUUCAGCAUCUUGCUUCCUUGCCGUCCACACUUCCAUGGUGCCACCUCGACCUCACGGAUCUUGCCAAUGGCUAUGACGCCAAGGUCCUGCAUGUGAACUGUUUGAUGAAAUUCGUCUGUGCCAAUUCUUUAUUGCUGCUCAUGAAGCAGCUGCCGGCCAAGCAGAGAUAUUUAUAAUGUGACGGACUGCUGCCGGAAGAAAAAGAAGACAACGGCAUCGCUGCCACAUGGGAUCUCCUUCUAUGACGCUGUCGUGCUGGGUUUUGUUAGGUCUGUGCUCAGCGCUGUUCAUUUUCUCUAAAAAGACUUUGAGACACAUCUUGUUGAAUUUGUAUAGCUUUCAGCUGGGAAGGACACCAACAUGGUUAUAGACUUAUAGCUGUUGCUCUUGGACUUGGGAUAUGAAUCGUUGGGUGUUAAAAGCACUUCAUAGCAGCUUGGUCAUACCAUGGAUUCUUUGGAAGCUCUUUUCAGAAGCAGAGAGAGUGUACUACACUGGAGGAUUAAAAGAUCUUCGCAAUAUUUGCUUUCUCAAUGUUAACCUGUAGGUAUCUCCUACUCUUCAAUGAAUCUGUAUUAUGGUGUUCUUUAUGUGUAGUAUCAUCAUCGGGUUUGAGUUCAUACUAAAUCAGAUAAUGUUUCCAGGCACCGCCAGCUGCAGCCAUUUUGUGUCAUCUUUAAAUGAUUUGCUUGGAAGUGAUUGCUUGCUAGAAUAGUCUGAAAAUGCCUCUUAUCUUUGCUUAGACCAUGUGGCUCGGUUCAGAUUUUUAUUUUCUGUGCAAUAAUCACUUCCUUUUUCCAUUUUGGAGUCCUUAUAAUGUGCGGAGGAAAUUAUUCAGCAGCAAUGCAGUUGGGUAGCAUAGAAAGACUAUUAAGUAUGCUCGUGUUAAUAUUCUAAUCGCUGUCAGCGAAGUGUUCCCUUCAAAUCUAUGAGGUCCCAAAACUGAUGUGUUGUGUUGGUAUAUUUCCCCCUUCUCAUCCCAUGUACCUGUUCAGAUUAUUGAAUUGCAUACACGGGAGCAGUUCAAAAGUUUGCAUUGUUGAUUCACAGUGUUGGUGCUGAUGCAUCUUUUCUAGGAUGUAUCGGUUCUAAUGCAUGUAUGAAAAAUUCAUUCCCCUUUCUCGCGUUGUGCAUGUCAAUUCGGUACUGGUAGAACUUCUUAUCUUGCUCUUUAUUAUUAUUCUUAUUCUUGAUAUAUAGUUACUGAAGUUCAGUUUUAUGAAUUUAUGAAUGUAUACGAGAAAUUAGGUUUCCUAUCUUUUUCUACUUUACUCGCUUCGAUGACUGGUUUACCUGCUAGAGCAGCAUCCCAUUGUUCAGUAGAAGGUGAAGUAAGGAAGACAUUGGUCAGGUUCUUAAUUCAUUCAUACAUUGGUCAGGUUCUUAAUUCGUUCAUACAUACUCUCUGAUUUGAACUAGCACAUAACAAUGUUGCUUAUUGUCUACAGCUAAUGCCAUGUCUCUCUAGAAUGCAAUAUACUAAUAACUUUUAUCCCAAAAUUUCCAGCGCCAGUUGGCCGCGCUGCAAGGUACGCUAAAGAUAUCUGAAGGAUUGAUUGGCACUGUCAGUGUCUAGAAGCAAAGUGCCAUUGUUAUCAUCACUGUUUUUUAGGAUAUAGACUCUAUGCCUCUCAAUCCAUUGGGCUUCUGUGAGUGCCGAAGUGUUUCAUGAUGAAUGGUACAUAUAAUCUUGUGACGUUUUUGUAUAUGAACUUCAGGUCCCAUUUAUUUGAACACGUGUCUGGUAUUAUGGGUUUCAGGGAACGACCUAUGAUCUUGGAAUUGUCCAUUCGAUGCUAUGAAGGUAACAGGUGCUCAAUUGGAGGAGCCCCCCCCCCCAAGUGUAUGAAGCAUGCAAAGAGGACAGUUCUGAGCGCAGACGAUGUUGAUAGUGCUCAGGAAUGUUAAGCCUGUAUACGGAUUUGCUUCUGGUGACCCCUUGCGGUUUAAAAGAGCUGUGUGCCAUAAUGAUCUCUUCUAUAUCGAUGACAGGGAGGUCGAUUUCAAAGAGGCAAGGAUAUUAUUGAUAAAUGAAUCAGAUAAAUUUACACUUUCUUUAUUUUGAUAAUGAAUUGGACAUAUGUCUGCCGCAUACAUAUUACUGAAGCUCCUCUACCCAAACUCUCGACACAGCAUUUGUAUCUCACUGGCUAACUAUUGAGGGCGUCCUCCAGCCUGCAAUUCUAGAUAAUCCUCCUAUCGAUGGAGGUGUAUUGGAUUUAUAGAUAGAAACACAAUCUGAAGCAGGAGGCUGCAAUGGAACUUUUUACCAUGUUUGUUAGGUAAAUCUUGGGGCGAGCAGUGGAUGGCUGAUGGCGUGGAUGGCCACGACGGAGUACUUGGUCAGCGGAUUACAUGGAGUGGAGUCGAUGAAGGGAGCUGUAGCAGAUCAAGGCGAAGAGUUAGAGAGAUAGGUUAAGAGAUAGGUUAAGAGGAAGAAAUUGUACCGUUAACGCAAAUUGUGAUGGGAUAGACGGUAUCAGCCAAUAAAUUGUUUACGCGGGGCAAACAUUUGCAAUAGUUUCUCGUUCCGUGGUAGCAGUGGUAUCAGUUAAGAGGCUCAAAAUCUCGAACCAAACUUUUUCUAUUUUGCCACUCACAAUAAGCAUAAACAUUCUUCUUGGAAUUAGUAAUUAUCCUUUUAUGUUUCUUUAA